Non-coding RNA from Delphinapterus leucas (beluga whale), 2752 nucleotides. Lineage: Eukaryota; Metazoa; Chordata; Mammalia; Artiodactyla; Monodontidae. The record is from RefSeq and is a predicted model, not a curated record.
AGACGAAACGCAACCCUUCCGGCUCCCUGCGGAUUCGGCGAGUAGGUUGGUUUCCUGUCACAGGGGCGUGGGCUCCGUGCUACGCGCGGAAUUCGCGGCGACCAAAGGGAAUAACAGCUGUACCCUCAAGGAGCUUACAUGAAGUUAUGCACAACAAACAAUUGCUAACGCCCUAUAAAGUCAAAAUAUGACCGGUGUUUAAAGAUGAGUGAAAACUUCCUUAGGGACCAAACCAGCAAGUAGACUCAGCUUUGGGAGCCAUCACCCUGGUCCACCUUGAUGUGUCAGCACCACAGAGAGCAGCUUACUUCAUACGCAAUCCUGUAAUGCUUGAGUCACUCAAAUGGUGGUAAAGAGGCAAACUAGAUUGUUCCUAAUAGGUGUGCACCUUUGGGACACGUAUAUAACCACCCGAUGCACAUCGUUGGUGACCUACGAGCAUAUCUACCUCAGCAGUGGGAAUGGGCCCUAGUACAUGAGAAUGUGCCUUAAACAGUGUCUGGCACAUAGUGUGGGAACUGAGGAAUGCAGAAUGGGAAGACUACUGAGGCUACUUAGAGAUGCCUCUCCCAGUGCUCCUUCAGGAUGCUGCUUCCAUCUAUGUUAAGCCCUGGGUUAACUCUGCAGAGAGGCCCCCAGUCACACAGGUUCCUUCUGGCCCAGAGUGACCCCCCUGUGGACGACUGCCGAGCGAGAGCAUGCAUGAUUACCAGAGGUUGCCCAAGCUCCAAAGGAAGAACUCCAUGAUCAACACCCCUGACACUACGUGGAAAUGGACAUGACUGAUGAAUGUGAAAAGGAAUCAUUGAAAUGGAAAAUCCUGGAGCUGAAAGUGGCCGUAUCCAGCUCUACUCUGUGAAUUUUGUAUUUUUUCUUUUAUUUAUUUAUCAUCUCAACAGACAUGUUUUGCGAAUAUACUGCAUGCAAAUUACUACAUUGGGUGCUAGGAAAAGAACUGUGAACAAGGGAAGAGGCCAUGUGAGGACACAGUGAGAAGGCAGCGAUAUACAAGCCUGGAAGAGAGGCUUCACCAGAAAUCAACCCAGAUGGCACCUUGAUCUUGGACUUCUAGCUUCCUGAACUUCUUCAGGUGGUGUCUCAAUCUGUAGCAAAGAAGGCCACAAGGCUCCAGGCCUGCACACCUUUACUGGUGGAAAUUAAGCAUCUUCAGUUUGUUUUCCUUUAACUUCCUGAAGACCAGUCCUCAUGAAGAAAGUGAGGGAAUACUCAUCCUUACUUCCCUCCCACUUCUGUCAGAGGGAACAAUAUUUCCCAAAGUGUGGAAUUCAGACUAGUGCUGAAUAUGUAAGCUGAAAGCAUCCUGACCGAUAAGAGUGGUUAAACUGGUUUCUUCAGUCAGUGAGGAGGGAAUUGGCUCCUGGCUCCACCACAGGAAUUAUAUGCCCUCUUCAAAGCUGCUUCCUCCUCUGAGACGCAGGUUAUGCAGUCAACAGUUUUGACAGCUACAAAGGGACCCAGAGCAGACUUUUCUCCUUUGCCUGAACUCUCCAAGGGUCCAGAGCCUAGGUACCAGCAGAGGAUUCUUGGGCCCAUCUGCCACCUCAGAGAGUCCAGAUGAAUUCGGAAAACCUUUCCUCUUACGCUAACUAUGACCUUCAACAAGUUGAUAAAGUAUACCUUUGUAAACGAAGAUGAAACAUUUAUCUUUUUCUCUCUACCUGAUUCCUCCAGAAUUUGGCUUCUCCAGUUGGCUCCCCUGUGGACUUGAUGGCUUAUUUUGACCAGAUUACAACUAGUUAUACUAAUCACUGUUUUAGUUUGUUCUCUCUUGGCAUUUGCAAAUUAUUUAUGCCUUGUGCCUCUCUCUGCUGCAGUAUCAGUUUAUUAAUGUUACUAGCUGUGUUACUUAUGUCCUGUUUUAUGAGAUUGUUAUCUCUUACAUUAGCAAAGUGUAACCAAGCCUCCAGCAAAAUUAAUGACGUCUCGAGUUAGUUGAUCAUGUACAUAACUCUACAUAGAAUAAUUGUAAUAGUGCAAUUCUAGAUCUGGGAAGAAGCAAUGAGGGAAAACAUUUCCUGGAUCACAACAGACUAAUAAGACAGGUGAUCCAGAGAAUUUUAGAUUAUCAACAGGGUCUAAUCCACAACAAAUCAGCACAUUGAGUGGCCUAGCAACAGAAUCUUCACGUGAUCAAGGGAUGAGCCUUCCUAGCCCUGAGGGACAAAAUUAGUCAUGAAAUGCCUCCCAAAUAUUGGUUGAAUUUAUGGCCAAGAGGAAGCACUGUGAGCAAAGACUGUCACCUGCCGUAUCAGUAAACAAGCCAUGAAGCCAUCAGCCUCUGCAGCCACCACCAAUGGUGCAGCCUGAGGGGACUCAGAAUGGAGAAAAACAGGAUACGGGCCCUAGAUAGUUAAGGUGCAUAUUAAAGGAAUGAUUUCAGUGAGCCAAGGGCCUUGCAUCUUCCCAUACAUAGAAAAGCACUGAAUUCAUUAACUGUAGAUGUCUGUUUUUUCAUUAAUUAGCAGCAAUCUUGUGAUGUUCGACUUCCUGAUUUUAUUUUUGCAAAAACUCCUACAUAUUCCUGGCUCCUCCCUUACCUCUUUGGAACACUCUCUCAGAGCUAUCUGAGAGGCUGUCUCCUGGGCUGAGGUCCUCAGUAUGUCUGCUGAAUAAAACAUAGUUCUCAGCUUCUGGGUUGUGCGGUUUGUUUGUUUUUUUCAGUCGACAGUUUCUGUGGUAGUUCUAUGUGGUAACUUUUUGCGGGACCACAAACUCUUUCUCAGCAGCUGCA